Non-coding RNA from Pelobates cultripes (western spadefoot toad), 190 nucleotides. NCBI's taxonomy places the organism in Eukaryota, Metazoa, Chordata, Amphibia, Anura, Pelobatidae. The record is from the annotation of a GenBank genome assembly.
AGUUUUAUCCCGCAGACCUCACUUGGUGUAUUGUACACAGUACUAGAGACCGUAUCUUCAGAAGGAUAUUGAUACCUUAGAGAGGGUUUAGUAGCCCUUCUCUGAACCCUCUCUAAGGUAUCAAUAUCCUUCUGAAGAUACGGUCUCUAGUACUGUGUACAAUACUCCAAGUGAGGUCUCACCAGUGUUC